AGAGAGAGAGAGAGAGAGAAUGUUUCUAGUUACUCCUGUAUCAAUGCAUUAUUAAAUAGUGUAAUGUGGAUAUUCAGUUCUCAAGCCUUUAGUUAUGUUUAGGAAUGUCAAUUGGUUAGAUUUUUACGGGUAUUUGAUCCAACCGAAUCAUAAUAAGACAUAUUUGGGUAGUAUAUAAUCGAGUUUGGGAUAAGUUCGGGUUUUGAAAAAUAAUACCUGUUGUGG
RNAcentral lists this unclassified non-coding RNA (225 nucleotides) under Hevea brasiliensis (rubber tree). Lineage: Eukaryota; Viridiplantae; Streptophyta; Magnoliopsida; Malpighiales; Euphorbiaceae. The record is from RNAcentral.